This 253-nucleotide ribosomal RNA is filed under the name uncultured bacterium. Its description in RNAcentral is "partial 16S ribosomal RNA". It matches the Rfam family "Bacterial small subunit ribosomal RNA", at positions 524 to 776 of the family's 1533-position model. The record is from RNAcentral.
UACGUAGGGUGCGAGCGUUGUCCGGAAUUAUUGGGCGUAAAGAGCUCGUAGGCGGUGUGUCGCGUCGGUCGUGAAAGCCCGGGGCUUAACCCCGGGUCUGCAUUCGAUACGGGCAGGCUGGAGUUCGGUAGGGGAGAUCGGAAUUCCUGGUGUAGCGGUGAAAUGCGCAGAUAUCAGGAGGAACACCGGUGGCGAAGGCGGAUCUCUGGGCCGAUACUGACGCUGAGGAGCGAAAGCGUGGGGAGCGAACAGG